GCGGACGUGGCGAAAUUGGUAGCCGCGCAGGCCUUAGGAGCCUGUCCUUCACGGGGUGGGGGUUCGAGUCCCCCCGUCCGCA
This 82-nucleotide transfer RNA is filed under the name uncultured Gemmatimonadaceae bacterium. RNAcentral's name for it is "tRNA-Leu-TAG". It matches the Rfam family "tRNA". From Rfam's summary of the family: Transfer RNA (tRNA) molecules are approximately 80 nucleotides in length. The record is from RNAcentral. Lineage: Bacteria; Pseudomonadati; Gemmatimonadota; Gemmatimonadia; Gemmatimonadales; Gemmatimonadaceae.